This 253-nucleotide ribosomal RNA is filed under the name uncultured bacterium. RNAcentral's name for it is "partial 16S ribosomal RNA". It matches the Rfam family "Bacterial small subunit ribosomal RNA", at positions 524 to 776 of the family's 1533-position model. The record is from RNAcentral.
UACGUAGGUGGCAAGCGUUGUCCGGAUUUACUGGGCGUAAAGGGCGUGCAGGCGGUCUGUUAAGUCUAGGGUGAAAGCUCCCGGCUCAACUGGGAGAGGUCCUUGGAUACUGGCGGACUUGAGGGAGGCAGAGGAAAGUGGAAUUCCCGGUGUAGUGGUGAUAUGCGUAGAUAUCGGGAGGAACACCAGUGGCGAAGGCGGCUUUCUGGGCCUUACCUGACGCUGAGACGCGAAAGCGUGGGGGGCAAACAGG